UAAGGAGUUCUUGCCACGAUGGAAGUAACCCAUUACGAUGCAUCCAUUGAUACCGAUGCAGUGCAUCAGCAUCCAUAUGAAAAGAAGAUAUAAUCAAGCGUGGUUGAUCUGGAGUCUCAUGAAAAAAAAAAUCUGCUCUUCCCUAAAAAUCCAUCCAUGCGGAUCCUCUACAUUGAAACGCAGAACAUCGAGCUUCAAAGUUCUCAUAGGUUGCACGGUAUUACCCUCGCCCACUAAUGCUUGCUCUUAUCGAAUUGUUGGACUUGUAGUUGAUCCUUAUACAUCAACACUGGGAUUUUUCAGACUCUGCUCUAUUUGACCUUCCAUUGACGUUAAUUUCAAGCUUAUUUCCUUGAGAAUGUUGCCGAAAGAACUGAACUGCUCAUCAUGCGAUGCCAAGCGAUUUAGGCAAUCUUCAAGAGCUUGUGAUAAAUAAGCUCGAGUCUAAUCUGCCAUGGCUGACCUCCAAGUUUUACUCUCAACAAGAGCACCAAAUGUUAAGAAAAUAAUUGCACAAUUCGAGGUUGUACACCUCCUAAGCAGAAAAGAGAAGAAGAAUUGAAGCAAUUGGAUUCCUC
RNAcentral lists this long non-coding RNA (578 nucleotides) under Olea europaea subsp. europaea. The record is from RNAcentral. Lineage: Eukaryota; Viridiplantae; Streptophyta; Magnoliopsida; Lamiales; Oleaceae.